Molecule: ribosomal RNA, 221 nt
Filed under: uncultured bacterium
Lineage: Bacteria
Description: partial 16S ribosomal RNA
Rfam family: Bacterial small subunit ribosomal RNA
Source: RNAcentral
UGAGCAAUCUGCCCUUCACAUCGGAAUAACCAUUGGAAACGAUGGCUAAUACCGAAUAUGACUUCGGAUCGCAUGAUCUGAAGUGGAAAGCUCCGGCGGUGAAGGAUAAGCUCGCGGCCUAUCAGCUUGUUGGUGAGGUAAUAGCUCACCAAGGCGAUGACGGGUAGCCGGCCUGAGAGGGCGACCGGCCACACUGGGACUGAGACACGGCCCAGACUCCG